GAGUAACACGUGAGUAACCUGCCCUGGACUUUGGGAUAACCCUCGGAAACGGGGGCUAAUACCGGAUACGACACACUGACGCAUGUUGUGUGUGUGGAAAGUUUUUCGGUCUGGGAUGGGCUCGCGGCCUAUCAGCUUGUUGGUGGGGUGAUGGCCUACCAAGGCGACGACGGGUAGCCGGCCUGAGAGGGCGACCGGCCACACUGGGACUGAGACACGGCCCAGACUCCUACGGGAGGCAGCAGUGGGGAAUAUUGCACAAUGGGCGGAAGCCUGAUGCAGCGACGCCGCGUGAGGGAUGACGGCCUUCGGGUUGUAAACCUCUUUCAGCAGGGACGAAGCGUAAGUGACGGUACCUGCAGAAGAAGCGCCGGCCAACUACGUGCCAGCAGCCGCGGUAAGACGUAGGGCGCGAGCGUUGUCCGGAUUUAUUGGGCGUAAAGAGCUCGUAGGCGGCUUGUCGCGUCGACCGUGAAAACUUGGGGCUCAACCCCAAGCCUGCGGUCGAUACGGGCAGGCUC
This 521-nucleotide ribosomal RNA is filed under the name Actinoplanes sp. SCAU7034. RNAcentral's name for it is "bacterial SSU rRNA". It matches the Rfam family "Bacterial small subunit ribosomal RNA", at positions 108 to 643 of the family's 1533-position model. The record is from RNAcentral. Lineage: Bacteria; Bacillati; Actinomycetota; Actinomycetes; Micromonosporales; Micromonosporaceae.